CGUAGGUCUUUGUCUCCUCCAUCCUCUCCAGAGAGAAUGUCAAGGAGGCUUCUGGAAACUCAGAGCUCUGUGGCUGCUCAACCCUGCUGGAAGAUGGGAGCUGUUGAUAGUACACAGAUGACUGGUAAUCUGUCUGGAAAAUUACAGUGCAGACUCUCUGGACAGGAAUGUGUCCCAGAAAAGGGAAUAUCCCUGGGAAUAUCCCUGGCUGAUUGGAGGAAUCAGAUACUGGAAUUAGGAACUAUGGGCUCAGAGGGCACUUGGAGUUCAUCUAAUUUAGUGGUUUUGAAGCUUCUAACCACAAAGGACUGCCGUUAUUAAUUUCCUCCAGAGACUCUCUAUUUUAAAAUAUUUUGGCUGGUUAAAAAAAAUUUACAAAAAUAAUUCUAUUUUCUGUUUUUAUUAAUCAAAGAUAUAAUAGACGACUAGAAAAAUAGAGCUUCUGGCCAGCAUGAGGUGACCUGCCUUUCCAUACCGAGGGGCUCUUGCUUCAGCCGAGCACAUACGAGUGUUUUUUAAUGAAACUGUGCAGACUUACAGGAGGUGGGGAUAGCAAACGUACAAUUUCAUUAGACUUUUUCAAAUUUGGGAAAUUGUUCCAACAGUCUCUCCACCAUGAAUACUUUCAGGAACGUGCGUGACUCUAGCGGUCCCAGCUGAAAAUCAUUGAUUCAGACUUACUUCCUUGUUUCAUCAUUGAGGAAACAGAAGCCCAGAGAGGGGAAGUAAAAUUUCCAAAGUCACCAAGUUGAGUUGAUGAGUAAAAGGAUGGUUAAAUAAUAGAAUACCUGUGUCCCCUGGGACCCACUACCCACUCCAAGGUAGAGUUGUCUGGUUCAUUCUGUAGCCAGUUCUGCAGCUUGUGAAAGUUUAAAGAUCUUCGUUUCAUUUUUAAUUCUGAGUGUUUGCUCUUAGGAUACAGCUCUCAUUCUCUUGGAGUGUUAUGCCUGCUUCUCCCUCAGGCUUAAAGCUGGUCCCCGUGUCCCACAAUUAGAUCCACUCUUAUAAGCAUUUUGAGGGUCAACAAGCCAUAGAAUCACUGGCUCUGGGGAAGACAGCUGUUGUGUUGUGUUGUGUUGUGUUGUGGAGACACCAAAGAAGCCCCACAGAAAGGACCACGUAGCAAGGAACCAAGGCCACCUGCCAGUCGCCAGUGAGGAACUAAGUCCUCGUGCCAUGGCAGAAAUCGAUGCUGUGGAGGAAAAGAGAAUGUGUCAAUGCCGUGGGGCCCCAGCUCCUGUGUCCACAGCACUUGGGGGACAAGCUGGAAGCACGAAGAAGGAGUCAGACUCAUCUUGGAUACCUAACCCCCACAGCGCCUGGGGAGAACUGAGCCCUCCGUCACCCUGGCCCACUAGACACAGAGGAAACAGCCCAGGGAGAUGAAAAGUGCUUCUCCAGGAGCCUCUCUGAGAUGUUUGCAAAGCUCGCAUGAAAACCCAGGGGAUGGAGCCUGGAGCUUCCUCUUCGAACACCACAGUGCUGACGAGUGCUGAGCCAGCCAUUCUGUCCUUUCCUGCUUCCCUGUCCUGUCCCUGUUCUUCAGUUCCCGCCACCAAGGACCAUUUCUAAGUCCUCCAAGGAAGAGAGGUGCAGAGACUCAGUCAGGCCGACCAAAACCUUCGCAUGGUCCCGUCCUACAAAUAGAGACCAACUGGUUCCCCAAUUAUCAGUGAGAGAACAGAGGAAACCAGAGGUGAGGGUAUCACUUCAGUUGGAGAAAUUUUUAUCCUAGGGAAUUGUUCAUAGACACUCGCCUGGUGACGAGUCGUCCCCUGGGCCUUCUAAAAUGCCAGGGAAACUCCUGUCAAUUGGGCCCCGCUUAAGGGCUCUGCUUUCCAAAGGUGGAGACUAAGAAGCAAGGGGAGUUUCUUCUCCAAGGGACUCUUGCUUCCUGGCCCAUCUGGCUGGGCUCGGGGUCUAGAUGCAAAGGAAAAAGGGAGCCCACACUGAAGCUCUGGGUCCCUUUCGUAAAGAGAGAGGGGAAUAGUUAAUAACCCACAAAUGACUCACAAAUAACAGGAAAGCUGUUUGCAAACAUGUAAAUGCCUAACAGCCUCCCCCACUCCCCGCUCAGAAAGAAAUGAGCAAGAGACAGAACUCUAGCGCCUUCAGAGAGUCCUCCCGCCAGGCUGUCUGUGCUUCUCCGGGUGUGAGUGGGAAGAGGCUGCCGAGCCCCGAGGGGAAGAACGGAUCCGCACUCACACAGCGCCGCAGUCUCAGCCGGAGGGUCUUCAGCUUUUCUCCCAGGGAGUUCACGUGUUGUUUGAUGUCUGGGUCCUCGUUCUCAGCCUGGGGCAUCACCUCCUCCAAGUAAAACUGGAUCAUCUCGGACAAGGCUUGGCAACCCAGCAAAGGAAGCAGACCCAGCUCCCGGCCUCCCUUCUCUGAGUCACGCUGCAAGCUCGCCUCCCACACACCCCCCCGGGCCCUCACCUUAAAGUCCUCCAGCAAGGACCUAGUCAACAAUAUGCUGUGCAGCUCGUCCUUGGUUUGCUGCAAGAAGAACAAAAGAAGAGUGAACCCGAGGUUUGAGGAAAUAACUGAAAUAAAUGUCUUUCUGAUGCCCUCUUA
Leopardus geoffroyi (Geoffroy's cat) is the source of this 2574-nucleotide long non-coding RNA. RefSeq lists it as uncharacterized. The transcript has 4 exons. NCBI's taxonomy places the organism in Eukaryota, Metazoa, Chordata, Mammalia, Carnivora, Felidae. The record is from RefSeq and is a predicted model, not a curated record.